CCUACGGGAGGCAGCAGUAGGGAAUCUUCCACAAUGGGCGAAAGCCUGAUGGAGCAACGCUGCGUGGGUGAAGAAGGUCUUCGGAUCGUAAAACCCUGUUGUUAGAGAAGAAAGUUCGUGAGAGUAACUGUUCACGUUUCGACGGUAUCUAACCAGAAAGCCACGGCUAACUACGUGCCAGCAGCCGCGGUAAUACGUAGGUGGCAAGCGUUAUCCGGAUUUAUUGGGCGUAAAGGGAACGCAGGCGGUCUUUUAAGUCUGAUGUGAAAGCCUUCGGCUUAACCGGAGUAGUGCAUUGGAAACUGGGAGACUUGAGUGCAGACGAGGAGAGUGGAACUCCAUGUGUAGCGGUGAAAGGCGUAGAUAUAUGGAAGAACACCAGUGGCGAAAGCGGCUCUCUGGUCUGUCACUGACGCUGAGGUUCGAAAGCGUGGGUAGCAAACAGGAUUAGAUACCCGAGUAGUC
This 465-nucleotide ribosomal RNA is filed under the name uncultured bacterium. RNAcentral's name for it is "partial 16S ribosomal RNA". It matches the Rfam family "Bacterial small subunit ribosomal RNA", at positions 338 to 795 of the family's 1533-position model. The record is from RNAcentral.